AUUGAACGCUGGCGGCAUGCCUUACACAUGCAAGUCGAACGGUAACAGGUUAAGCUGACGAGUGGCGAACGGGUGAGUAAUGUAUCGGAACGUGCCCAGUCGUGGGGGAUAACUGCUCGAAAGAGCAGCUAAUACCGCAUACGACCUGAGGGUGAAAGCGGGGGAUCGCAAGACCUCGCGCGAUUGGAGCGGCCGAUAUCAGAUUAGGUAGUUGGUGAGGUAAAGGCUCACCAAGCCGACGAUCUGUAGCUGGUCUGAGAGGACGACCAGCCACACUGGGACUGAGACACGGCCCAGACUCCUACGGGAGGCAGCAGUGGGGAAUUUUGGACAAUGGGCGAAAGCCUGAUCCAGCCAUGCCGCGUGCGGGAAGAAGGCCUUCGGGUUGUAAACCGCUUUUGUCAGGGAAGAAAAGGUUCUGGCUAAUACCUGGGACUCAUGACGGUACCUGAAGAAUAAGCACCGGCUAACUACGU
RNAcentral lists this ribosomal RNA (476 nucleotides) under uncultured bacterium. Its description in RNAcentral is "partial 16S ribosomal RNA". It matches the Rfam family "Bacterial small subunit ribosomal RNA", at positions 30 to 506 of the family's 1533-position model. The record is from RNAcentral.